RNAcentral lists this transfer RNA (74 nucleotides) under Gemmatimonadaceae bacterium. RNAcentral describes it as "tRNA-Ile". It matches the Rfam family "tRNA". From Rfam's summary of the family: Transfer RNA (tRNA) molecules are approximately 80 nucleotides in length. Lineage: Bacteria; Pseudomonadati; Gemmatimonadota; Gemmatimonadia; Gemmatimonadales; Gemmatimonadaceae. RNAcentral also lists the same sequence under 2 other names. The record is from RNAcentral.
GGGCCGGUAGCUCAGUUGGUUAGAGCAGUCGACUCAUAAUCGACGGGUCACAGGUUCGAAUCCUGUCCGGCCCA